RNAcentral lists this ribosomal RNA (513 nucleotides) under uncultured Prochlorococcus sp. RNAcentral's name for it is "bacterial SSU rRNA". It matches the Rfam family "Bacterial small subunit ribosomal RNA", at positions 540 to 1050 of the family's 1533-position model. The record is from RNAcentral. Lineage: Bacteria; Bacillati; Cyanobacteriota; Cyanophyceae; Synechococcales; Prochlorococcaceae.
GUUAUCCGGAAUUAUUGGGCGUAAAGCGUCCGCAGGCGGCCUUUCAAGUCUGCUGUUAAAGCGUGGAGCUUAACUCCAUUAUGGCAGUGGAAACUGAUCGGCUUGAGUAUGGUAGGGGCAGAGGGAAUUCCCGGUGUAGCGGUGAAAUGCGUAGAUAUCGGGAAGAACACCAGUGGCGAAGGCGCUCUGCUGGGCCAUUACUGACGCUCAUGGACGAAAGCCAGGGGAGCGAAAGGGAUUAGAUACCCCUGUAGUCCUGGCCGUAAACGAUGAACACUAGGUGUCGGGGGAAUCGACCCCUUCGGUGUCGUAGCUAACGCGUUAAGUGUUCCGCCUGGGGAGUACGCACGCAAGUGUGAAACUCAAAGGAAUUGACGGGGGCCCGCACAAGCGGUGGAGUAUGUGGUUUAAUUCGAUGCAACGCGAAAAACCUUACCUACUCUUGACAUACUUGGAAGCUCUUGUAACUGACGAGUGUGCCUUAUGGAACCAAGAUACAGGUGCUGCAUGGCU